Molecule: unclassified non-coding RNA, 332 nt
Filed under: fungal sp.
Lineage: Eukaryota; Fungi
Description: partial internal transcribed spacer region
Rfam family: Eukaryotic small subunit ribosomal RNA (bases 1-45)
Source: RNAcentral
AGUCGUAACAAGGUAUCCAUAGGUGAACCUGCGGAUGGAUCAUUACCAAAGGAUCCCAUCCAACCACAUGUGAACUGGCUUAACUUGUCGGCACCUCAGUCAGGGUCUGGACCACUGAGCCUUCGGGUUUAGGGGUCUUGGCCUUGCUACUGAAGGGUCGGCCUUAUGUCGGCACCUCGCUGUGAGUCGGAGUCUGGACCACUGAGCCUUCGGGCCCUAGGCGUACAGGCACGCUAGUGAGGGGUCGGCGUAAACCAAACGUAUUUACAAAUGAACUGAAGUAUACCUAAGAAACUUAGAGAAAACUUUUAGCAAUGGAUCUCUAGGCUCUU